CCGUCUUUGAGUUUCUAUGCUAGGGCACAAGUCUCCCAAGUUCCCCAGAGUCAAAAAGAUCCCUAAAACAGUAAAAAUCUGCAUUUUUAUGAUUCUGGUGCGCGUCGCGCGCCCCAUGCGCAGAAAAACGCGCUCCAAGCGCGCGUUGGCAGAGCCUGAUGCUGAGAAAUGCGCUCCAAGCGCUCAGGACGCGCUCCAGGCGCAUUUCAUCUGCUGUCUGAUGUAUUUUGCAUUUUUCUCAUCUUUUGCUUCUGAAUUUGGUCCCGGUGUCUUCAUGAAAGUUGUAG
Molecule: long non-coding RNA, 287 nt
Filed under: Cicer arietinum (chickpea)
Lineage: Eukaryota; Viridiplantae; Streptophyta; Magnoliopsida; Fabales; Fabaceae
Description: long non-coding RNA (CARI_LNC002359)
Source: RNAcentral